This 340-nucleotide ribosomal RNA is filed under the name uncultured bacterium. RNAcentral's name for it is "bacterial SSU rRNA". It matches the Rfam family "Bacterial small subunit ribosomal RNA", at positions 28 to 369 of the family's 1533-position model. The record is from RNAcentral.
GACGAACGCUGGCGGCGUGCUUAACACAUGCAAGUCGAGCGGUAAGGCCCUUUCGGGGGUACACGAGCGGCGAACGGGUGAGUAACACGUGGGUGACCUGCCCUCAGCUCUGGGAUAAGCCUGGGAAACCGGGUCUAAUACCGGAUAUGACUCCAUGACGCAUGUUGUGGGGUGAAANCCUUGUGCGGCUGAGGAUGGGCCCGCGGCCUAUCAGCUUGUUGGUGGGGUNAUGGCCUACCAAGGCGACGACGGGUAGCCGGCCUGAGAGGGCCGACCGGCCACACUGGGACUGAGACACGGCCCAGACUCCUACGGGAGGCAGCAGUGGGGAAUCUUGCGC